UGGGGAAUAUUGGACAAUGGGCGAAAGCCUGAUCCAGCCAUGCCGCGUGUGUGAAGAAGGUCUUCGGAUUGUAAAGCACUUUAAGUUGGGAGGAAGGGCAGUAAGCGAAUACCUUGCUGUUUUGACGUUACCGACAGAAUAAGCACCGGCUAACUCUGUGCCAGCAGCCGCGGUAAUACAGAGGGUGCAAGCGUUAAUCGGAAUUACUGGGCGUAAAGCGCGCGUAGGUGGUUCGUUAAGUUGAAUGUGAAAGCCCCGGGCUCAACCUGGGAACUGCAUCCAAAACUGGCGAGCUAGAGUAGGGCAGAGGGUGGUUGAAUUUCCUGUGUAGCGGUGAAAUGCGUAGAUAUAGGAAGGAACACCAGUGGCGAAGGCGACCACCUGGGCUCAUACUGACACUGAGGUGCGAAAGCGUGGGGAGCAAACAGG
Molecule: ribosomal RNA, 429 nt
Filed under: Pseudomonadota bacterium
Lineage: Bacteria; Pseudomonadati; Pseudomonadota
Description: Proteobacteria bacterium partial 16S ribosomal RNA
Rfam family: Bacterial small subunit ribosomal RNA
Source: RNAcentral